This 447-nucleotide ribosomal RNA is filed under the name uncultured bacterium. Its description in RNAcentral is "SSU rRNA". It matches the Rfam family "Bacterial small subunit ribosomal RNA", at positions 26 to 518 of the family's 1533-position model. The record is from RNAcentral.
AGAACGAACGCUGGCGGCAGGCCUCAAACAUGCAAGUCUAGGGGGUGCAGCAAUGCAUCACCGGCGGACGGGUGCGUAACACGUGGGAAUAUACCUUUUGGUUCGGAACAACUGAGGGAAACUUCAGCUAAUACCGAAUGUGUCCUUACGGAGAAAGAUUUAUCGCCAAAGGAUUAGCCCGCGUCCGAUUAGCUAGUUGGUGAGGUAAUGGCUCACCAAGGCUCCGAUCGGUAGCUGUUCUGAGAGGAAGAUCAGCCACACUGGGACUGAGACACGGCCCAGACUCCUACGGGAGGCAGCAGUUGGGAAUCUUGGACAAUGGGGGAAACCCUGAUCCAGCCAUGCCGCGUGAGUGAUGAAGGCCUUCGGGUUGUAAAACUCUUUCGACGGGACGAUAAUGACGGUACCCGUAGAAGAAGCUCCGGCUAACUUCGUGCCAGCAGCCGC